UGCAAGUCGAACGGUAGCACAGAGGAGCUUGCUCCUUGGGUGACGAGUGGCGGACGGGUGAGUAAUGUCUGGGAAACUGCCCGAUGGAGGGGGAUAACUACUGGAAACGGUAGCUAAUACCGCAUAACGUCGCAAGACCAAAGAGGGGGACCUUCGGGCCUCUUGCCAUCGGAUGUGCCCAGAUGGGAUUAGCUAGUAGGUGGGGUAACGGCUCACCUAGGCGACGAUCCCUAGCUGGUCUGAGAGGAUGACCAGCCACACUGGAACUGAGACACGGUCCAGACUCCUACGGGAGGCAGCAGUGGGGAAUAUUGCACAAUGGGCGCAAGCCUGAUGCAGCCAUGCCGCGUGUAUGAAGAAGGCCUUCGGGUUGUAAAGUACUUUCAGCGAGGAGGAAGGCGUUGUGGUUAAUAACCGCAGCGAUUGACGUUACUCGCAGAAGAAGCACCGGCUAACUCCGUGCCAGCAGCCGCGGUAAUACGGAGGGUGCAAGCGUUAAUCGGAAUUACUGGGCGUAAAGCGCACGCAGGCGGUCUGUCAAGUCGGAUGUGAAAUCCCCGGGCUCAACCUGGGAACUGCAUCCGAAACUGGCAGGCUAGAGUCUUGUAGAGGGGGGUAGAAUUCCAGGUGUAGCGGUGAAAUGCGUAGAGAUCUGGAGGAAUACCGGUGGCGAAGGCGGCCCCCUGGACAAAGACUGACGCUCAGGUGCGAAAGCGUGGGGAGCAAACAGGAUUAGAUACCCCUGGUAGUCCACGCCGUAAACGAUGUCGACUUGGAGGUUGUGCCCUUG
This 790-nucleotide ribosomal RNA is filed under the name Citrobacter freundii. RNAcentral describes it as "bacterial SSU rRNA". It matches the Rfam family "Bacterial small subunit ribosomal RNA", at positions 56 to 834 of the family's 1533-position model. The record is from RNAcentral. Lineage: Bacteria; Pseudomonadati; Pseudomonadota; Gammaproteobacteria; Enterobacterales; Enterobacteriaceae.